Molecule: long non-coding RNA, 924 nt
Organism: Rosa chinensis
Lineage: Eukaryota; Viridiplantae; Streptophyta; Magnoliopsida; Rosales; Rosaceae
Exons: 2
Source: RefSeq, a predicted model, not a curated record
UCUUCUAUAUCUUCUUCUACCAGCAACCAAAAUUGCACGAGGAUAAGUUUCAACUAAGGAAGUCAAUUAUCAUGCCGUCACAGCCAUGAGAAGGGAAGCUUCUCGUCAUCUUGAAAACUCUACCGACUUCCUCAAUCGCCUCUACUCUUGAUUCUCCUAAGCCAUGUAAUUUUGUUAAUAUCAUCAAAGAAUGAACGCAAGGUGACAAACGAGGAGGUUCUUCAAAGGUAUGAUCAUAAAAGUUCUCAUUUAUUUACUGGUAAGUCUCUUUUGAUUCAUCUAAUGCGUGGGUUAAUUUAGUCUCAUUACUUCUGCAACUGCAGGUAUGUUUUCUGUCUAACUAUAUUUAGAUCUAUACACUAUAGUUGCUUUUUGCAUUAACAAUUUCUGUAUAUAUAAGUGAUUUCCAAAGCAUUAUGAUUUUGAAGCAACAAGUUAAUGGAUUGAAUCCGGUUAGGCCUGGGAUAUAAUUGAGUAGGGAUUGUGUCUCCCUUGGGUGAAAGACCCUAAACCUGAUUGGGGCUCGUGGAUUCGAGCAGGUAAUUAAGUAGGGAUUGUGCCUCCCUAGGGUGAAAGACCCAAAACCCAAUUAGGAUUCCGCUUAGUACAGGGUGUUAUCAACUGGGUUAUUAUCCUGCAUUAUCUGUACGAGUUAUCCCACUGAUAGGUACUUCUAGCAGUUCAUUGACGUUGGAAACAUGGUUUCUCCCACAUUUUUUGCCCGGCGUAGUUUGUCUUAUCUCAUGGAUGAGAUGCCUCAGGAGGCUCUAAAUGAUGCAAUGCAAGUCAAGUAAUUUCCCCAAUAUGGCACAUUGCAUCUUAUCUGCAGGUUUUUUGUAGUUAUUUAUGUUGUUAUUAUAUGCAGCAGAGAUGUCUAAAAUAGAACUAGCUAGAAUAGUUAUAUGCUAGGCAAACAGUUUACUA